GGCCAGCAGCCGCGGUAAUACAGAGACCUCAAGCGUUAUCCGGAUUUAUUGGGCGUAAAGCGCAGGUAGGCGGCUAUGUUAGUCAGAUGUCAAAUCUUCGAGCUCAACUCGAAAACUGCAUUUGAAACGGCAUAGCUAGAGAGUGUGAGAGAUCGAUGGAACUCAUGGUGUAGCAGUGAAAUGCGUUGAUAUCAUGAGGAACACCAAAGGCGAAGGCAUUCGAUUGGCACAUUUCUGACGCUGAGCUGCGAAAGCGUGGGUAGCGAAUGGGAUUAGAUACCCCAGUAGUCCACGCCCUAAACGAUGUAUAUUAGGCAUUGGAAGUAUCGACCCUUUCAGUGUCGUAGCUAACGCGUUAAAUAUACCGCCUGGGAAGUACGGCCGCAAGGCUAAAACUCAAAGGAAUUGACGGGGGCCCGCACAAGU
RNAcentral lists this ribosomal RNA (426 nucleotides) under uncultured bacterium. RNAcentral's name for it is "bacterial SSU rRNA". It matches the Rfam family "Bacterial small subunit ribosomal RNA", at positions 506 to 930 of the family's 1533-position model. The record is from RNAcentral.